GAUGAACGCUGGCGGCGUGCCUAAUACAUGCAAGUCGAGCGAACGGACGAGAAGCUUGCUUCUCUGAUGUUAGCGGCGGACGGGUGAGUAACACGUGGAUAACCUACCUAUAAGACUGGGAUAACUUCGGGAAACCGGAGCUAAUACCGGAUAAUAUUUUGAACCGCAUGGUUCAAAAGUGAAAGACGGUCUUGCUGUCACUUAUAGAUGGAUCCGCGCUGCAUUAGCUAGUUGGUAAGGUAACGGCUUACCAAGGCAACGAUGCAUAGCCGACCUGAGAGGGUGAUCGGCCACACUGGAACUGAGACACGGUCCAGACUCCUAAGGGAGGCAGCAGUAGGGAAUCUUCCGCAAUGGGCGAAAGCAUGACGGAGCAACGCCGCGUGAGUGAUGAAGGUCUUCGGAUCGUAAAACUCUGUUAUUAGGGAAGAACAUAUGUGUAAGUAACUGUGCACAUCUUGACGGUACCUAAUCAGAAAGCCACGGCUAACUACGUG
Molecule: ribosomal RNA, 497 nt
Filed under: uncultured bacterium
Lineage: Bacteria
Description: partial 16S ribosomal RNA
Rfam family: Bacterial small subunit ribosomal RNA
Source: RNAcentral